RNA transcript from Dreissena polymorpha, 4034 nucleotides. It is a transcript of the gene named 6-phosphofructo-2-kinase/fructose-2,6-bisphosphatase-like, with no coding region annotated. The transcript is spliced from 15 exons. NCBI's taxonomy places the organism in Eukaryota, Metazoa, Mollusca, Bivalvia, Myida, Dreissenidae. The record is from RefSeq and is a predicted model, not a curated record.
ACAAACAUUUGGCAAGUGGAACAAGGAAGUAACUGAAUACAACAUUGAUGAUUAACUGAAUAUAAUACAAGAGAUUGUUAGAAAUAAAUAAUGCUGCAGCAAUAAUCUUUAACAUUAACUGUGCUGAACUUGGUAUUUACAUAUAUGGAAACAAAUGUUGGGUUUUUAUUUGCAACAGAGCUCUAAAGGUUGUGACAUGAUGUAAAUGAUGUAUGAAUUCUAGAUGUAGUUUGUGUGCUUGGAUUUUUACUGUUGUUAAUGUCAAAGUUCUUCAAGAUAAAAAACUUUUACCUAUAGGUGAAAAUUAUUUUUAAACCAUGGAUAAGUGCCGUCCAACAAAACACAAAAACCUUUGUGGAUCAGCGUCAUGUCCCCACAUGGUGCAGGCACCGACUGUGAUAUCAAUGGUGGGACUACCUGCCCGUGGAAAGACAUACAUGUCCAAGAAGCUGACCAGAUACCUCAACUGGAUCGGAAUACGCACCAAAGUGUUCAAUGUGGGCGAAUAUCGAAGGGCUGCCACUGACCAGUAUCGGAAUCAUAAUUUUUUCGAUACAUCCAAUUCAGAAGCUUUGGCUCUAAGACAGAAGUGUGCCCUGAUGGCAAUAGAUGAUGCGUGUAACUUUCUACUGGGAGGUGGGGAAGUUGCAGUGAUUGAUGCGACCAACACGACUAGAGAGCGUAGGAAGCUGUUGGAGGAGAUUAUCUGUCAAAAACACAACUUCCGUUUGUUCUUUGUUGAGUCUGUAUGCGACGACAUCAACAUCAUUGAGGCUAAUAUUCUGGAAGUGAAGGUGUGCAGCCCGGACUAUCUGGGCAUGGACAAGAACGAGGCCGUGGAAGACUUCCUGAAAAGGAUCGAUCACUACCGGGUCCAUUAUGAGGCCAUGGACUGCGGUCACGAUAAGGACCUCUCCUUUAUACAGAUCUUCAACCAGGGCGAGAGGUUCCUGGUGAACAAACUUGCUGGCCACCUGCAAAGUAGAGUUGUGUAUUACUUGAUGAACAUCCAUGUUCUACCAAGAACCAUUUACUUGACUAGACAUGGAGAGAGUAUGAUGAACCUGAGGGGUCGUAUAGGAGGAGACAGUGAACUCUCACCUCGAGGCAUGGAGUAUGCGAAGGAGCUUGCCAAGUUUGUGGUGGCCGAAAACAUUCCCAACCUGAAGGUGUGGACCAGUGAGCUGACGCGCACCAUCCAGACAGCGCAGCACAUCAAGGCCCCCAAAGCUCAUUGGAAGGCUCUAAACGAAAUAGACGCUGGUAUAUGUGAAGGCAUGACCUACGAAGAGAUAGCCGAGAAAUAUCCUGAAGAGUUUGCCAAGCGAGACCAGGAUAAAUACCACUAUAGAUACCCCACUGGAGAGUCCUAUCAAGACCUGGUUGCCAGACUGGAGCCUGUUAUCAUGGAGCUGGAGAGACAGGAGAAUGUUAUGGUGGUGUGUCACCAGGCAGUGGCCCGUUGUCUGCUGGCCUAUUUCCAGGACAAAUCCUCAGUUGAGAUUCCGUAUGUACCAGUACCUCAAGAAUCAUUGGUGGAAAUGAAAAUCACAGGAUUCGGGGAAUGUCAAAUGAGAGUUAUCCCCCUCCUCAGAGGAUCUGCCGUACCUGAAGGUUCCCCUACACACGGUCAUCAAGCUCACGCCCGUGGCGUAUGGUUGUAGGGUGGAGUACGUUAGCCUCAACAUCCCCGCCGUCAACACCCACCGGGAACGACCGGUGAAUAUUGACUCAGAGCGUUCAGUCCAAGAUGCGCUCUCCACUGUACUAGAUGAAGAGAAGGAGAUCCAAUAGAAAUGGCUGAGCUUGGUAGUCAGCAGCCAAUCAGGAGCAGCAUAUAAUGGCCACAUGGGCAUGAUGUUUUCAGGCUAAUAAUAGAUUACCAAUAGAAAUGGCAGAAAAAGUCUUAUGAAUGUAGAUAAAUGUUAAGAUUUUUUUCACUUGUUUCUAUAAUGCAAUGUCAGUAUACUUCUAAACCUAUGGUAUUGAACUUGGUUGUAAGCUUGCUCAAUUAUUGGUAUGCCAUUAUUAUGCCCCCCUUCGAAGAAGAGGGGGUAUAUUGCUUUGCUCAUGUCGGUCAGUCGGUAGGUCGGUUGGUCGGUCGGUCGGUCCGUCCACCAGGUGGUUGUCAGACGAUAACUCAAGAACGCUUGGGCCUAGGAUCAUGAAACUUCAUAGGUACAUUGAUCAUGACUUGCAGAUGACCCCUAUUGAUUUUGAGGUCACUAGGUCAAAGGUCAAGAUCAAGGUGACCCGAAAUAGUAAAAUGGUUUCCGGAUGAUAACUCAAGAACGCAUACGCCUAGGAUCAUGAAACUUCAUGGGUAGAUUUAUCAUGACUCGCAGAUGACCCCUAUUGAUUUUGAGGUCACUAGGUCUAAGGUCAAGGUCACGGUGAUCCGAAAUAGUAAAAUGGUUUCCGGAUGAUAACUCAAGAACGCAUACGCCUAGUAUCAUGAAACUUCAUGGGUAGAUUGAUCAUGACUCGCAGAUGACCCCUAUUGAUUUUGAGGUUACUAGGUCAAAGGUCAAGGUCACGGUGACCCGAAAUAGUAAAAUGAUUUUCGGAUGAUAAUUUAGAACGCAUAUGCCUAGGAUCAUGAAACUUUAUAGGUAGAUUGAUCAUGACAGGCAGAUGAUCCCUAUUGAUUUUCAGGUCACUAGGUCAAAGGUCAAGGUCACGGUGACCCGAAAUAGUAAAAUGAUUUUCGGAUGAUAACUCAAGAACGCUAUUCCUAGGAUCAUGAAACUUCAUAGGUAGAUUGAUCAUGACUCGCAGGUGACCCCUAUUGAUUUUGAGGUCACAAGGUCAAAGGUCAAGGUCAUGGUGACCCGAAAUAGUAAAAUGAUUUUUGGAUGAUAACUCAAGAACGCUUUUGCCUAGGAUCAUGACACUUCAUAGGUACAUUGAUAGUGACUUGCAGAUGACCCCUAUCGAUUUUCAGGUCACUAGGUCAAAGGUCAAGGUCACAGUGACAAAAGUCGUAUUCACACAAUGGCUGCCAGUACAAUGGACAGCCCAUAUGGGGGGCAUGCAUGUUUUACAAACAACCCUUGUUAAACAUUUUAAUUCAGGUGGUGGUAUUUUUUCUUUCUUGUUGUAUAUAGAUCAUUUUUAUCUCGACUUUUUCCAAGAAAACCGGAGGUAUUGUCAUAGCCAGCUCGUUGUCUGCCGUCUGCCGUGCUAAAACCUUAACAUUGGCUCUAAAAUCAAAGUGCUUCCACCUACAACUUUGAAACUUCAUAUGUAGAUGCACCUUGAUGAGUUCUACACGCCACACCCAUUUUUGGGUCACUAGGACAAAGGUCACGCUCACUGUGACCUCUAAAAAAAUAAAUAAAAAAAUAAUAAAAAAAUUCUGACAAGCUUUCAUUCAAAACUGCACCCACAGCCGAGUGUUGGCACUUGUUAUGCGGUGCUCUUGUUUAUUAGCUGGGCUGUUUGCGGAGAGAAAACCCGAGGUAUUGUCAUAGCCAGCUCGUUGUGUCGUCCGCCGUCCAUGUCGUGCUAAACCUUAACAUUUUGUCAAGGUUUUGAACAUUGGCUAUAAAAUGAAAGUGCUUCCACCUACAACUUUGAAGCUUCAUAUGUAGCUGUACCUUGAUGAGUUCUACACGCCUCACCCAUAUUUGGGUCACUAGGUCAAAGGUCAAGGUCAAUGUGACCUCUAAAAAAAAAAUCACAAGCUUUCAUUUAUUAAAAAAUGCACCGAGCGUUGGCACCCUUUAUGCGAUGCUCUUGUUCUAUUAUUUUGGACUAUUGACUUAUGCAGAUUUGUUUCUGAAAUUCUCAAAUGUUGUAAUGCAACAUCCUGGAUAUCUUUCCAUAUUUUUUGCUUCUUGGCACUUUUCUUGUCAAAGAUAUAAGCAGAGUUGUGUAAGAAUUGUUUCAUUUUUUAUGUGUAUAUCUUAACUUUUAUUUCAGUUUAUAUUAGAGCUUGUGCAGGUAUUUUGGAAUUGCUUGUACAUGUGUAUUGCCAAACAUUUUCUGUCUCUAUAUUUUUCUUAUUAUAUAUUGUAUAAACAUUGAUAUGA